GACAGUCUCAGUUCGGAUUGAAGGCUGAAAUUCGCCUUCAUGAAGCCGGAAUUGCUAGUAAUGGCAGGUCAGCAUACCGCGGUGAAUACGUUCCCGGGCCUUGUACACACCGCCCGUCACACCAUGAGAGUCGGGAACACCCGAAGUCCGUAGCCUAACCGCAAGGAGGGCGCGGCCGAAGGUGGGUUCGAUAAUUGGGGUGAAGUCGUAACAAGGUAAC
RNAcentral lists this ribosomal RNA (220 nucleotides) under uncultured bacterium. RNAcentral's name for it is "partial 16S ribosomal RNA". It matches the Rfam family "Bacterial small subunit ribosomal RNA", at positions 1281 to 1500 of the family's 1533-position model. The record is from RNAcentral.